UGGGGAAUUUUGGACAAUGGGCGAAAGCCUGAUCCAGCAAUGCCGCGUGUGUGAAGAAGGCCUUCGGGUUGUAAAGCACUUUUGUCCGGAAAGAAAUCCUUGGCUCUAAUACAGUCGGGGGAUGACGGUACCGGAAGAAUAAGCACCGGCUAACUACGUGCCAGCAGCCGCGGUAAUACGUAGGGUGCAAGCGUUAAUCGGAAUUACUGGGCGUAAAGCGUGCGCAGGCGGUUUGCUAAGACCGAUGUGAAAUCCCCGGGCUCAACCUGGGAACUGCAUUGGUGACUGGCAGGCUAGAGUAUGGCAGAGGGGGGUAGAAUUCCACGUGUAGCAGUGAAAUGCGUAGAGAUGUGGAGGAAUACCGAUGGCGAAGGCAGCCCCCUGGGGCCAAAUACUGACGCUCAUGCACGAAAGCGUGGGGAGCAAACAGGAUUAGAUACCCUGGUAGUCCACGCCCUAAACGAUGUCAACUAGUUGUUGGGGAUUCAUUUCCUUAGUAACGUAGCUAACGGGUGAAGUUGACCGCCUGGGGAGUACGGUCGCAAGAUUAAAACUUAAAUGAAUUGACGGGGU
RNAcentral lists this ribosomal RNA (573 nucleotides) under uncultured bacterium. Its description in RNAcentral is "partial 16S ribosomal RNA". It matches the Rfam family "Bacterial small subunit ribosomal RNA", at positions 355 to 919 of the family's 1533-position model. The record is from RNAcentral.